GAGGGUAUAGCUCAGUGACAGAGCGUGUGCUUAGCAUGCACGACGUCCUGGGUUCAAUCCCCAGUACCGCCA
Camelus ferus (Wild Bactrian camel) is the source of this 72-nucleotide transfer RNA. It matches the Rfam family "tRNA". Rfam says of the family: Transfer RNA (tRNA) molecules are approximately 80 nucleotides in length. The record is from Rfam. Lineage: Eukaryota; Metazoa; Chordata; Mammalia; Artiodactyla; Camelidae.